GAGGUGUAGCAUAAGUGGGAGGUAGUUUUUUUAAACUGCCGACAAUGAAAUACCACUACUU
This 61-nucleotide ribosomal RNA is filed under the name Rhodnius prolixus. RNAcentral describes it as "eukaryotic large subunit ribosomal RNA". The record is from RNAcentral. Lineage: Eukaryota; Metazoa; Arthropoda; Insecta; Hemiptera; Reduviidae.